Saccostrea cuccullata (small rock oyster) is the source of this 1234-nucleotide long non-coding RNA. RefSeq lists it as uncharacterized. The record is from RefSeq and is a predicted model, not a curated record. The transcript is spliced from 3 exons. Lineage: Eukaryota; Metazoa; Mollusca; Bivalvia; Ostreida; Ostreidae.
GUCUCUACAGGAAUGUUAUUUUACAUCAAUAUUCUGGUGCUGUAUGCCAGUCGCCCGUCAUACCCCUAAUAUAUUGAAUCACAGUAGUGGUACAGAGAUUUGGACAAUCUAUCAUCUACAGGAUGAUGUCAGGAUCACAAACAAAUAAGAAAAUCUGUUCAAGAACAUCAAGAAACUGUCCACUGAGACAUAAAAACAUGUACAGAGGUAAUUUCAAAAUACACACAAAGCAGGAUUUGUCAAAAGUGUGUUUUUGACAAAGAAGCUGGUUUAAACCUUUGUGGAUGUGGAUAUUGAAACCUCUUAAAACUCUUGAAAGAUGAGGAAAAGGAACCAUUGAAAUGGAACAUGUUGGACAGGGAAAUCAAGAUCAUGCAUUUAUAAAAGAUGACAGCAUAUCAGCACUGCCUUAAGAUUGGAGUGGAGACGUUGUAUUUUUUACACAGAAAAUAAAGAACAGUUGCUGAAUGAAACAGAGGCUCGCAGAAACAAAUGUAAUGAGCCCAAAAUGAUGGCGAUCAAUUUUGAAUGAUUUUAUUCUCUGGUUGAAAUGAUACUGAUCCAAUUUUAGAAGUGGUUGACAAUGAAUACUAAGUAUUUUGUUGUAUAUAAGUAUAAUGGCUUAUUUUAAAACUGUAUAAAGCUUGCAAUGUUUAUAUCAAAUGUAAUGAUAUUGUGUAGGAAUCAAUUUUUUUAAGGAUAAAAGAUGUAUUUUUUUUUUUAAUCAGAAUUUCCUAAAAAGACUUUCUAAUGUAAAUACAUGUAUGGAUAAUAGAAGUUUAUAAUCCUUUCUUUUACUGUCAUUGAAAUACUGGAGUAAUGAACUCAAUUUUACACCAAAGAUGUUUUAAUAUGAAAGUUUCAAAUUUCAAGGUUUUAUGAAGUUUGAAUUGCGGCUCAUAUUGCUUUUUAUUGAACUAUCUCCCUUAACCUUAGAUUUGUAGUGCAUUCUAUGUAAUAAAUUUAAUUUUGGAACAUGGGAAAGGUCUUGUUUUGAAGAGUAAAUGGGUUUAAUACAUGUACAUCUAUAUUUCACACAUGUAUAUUUGUACAAAUAAUUGAUCUUCCCAAAGAGUUAUUGCCCUUGUUCACAAUGUAAAAAAAAAUCUGAAUGAUAUAUGCAUGUCUGUUUUACAAAAAUCAAAGAGAUAAAUUUAUUUUAUAUGUUUUAGAAAUGUCCUCAUUGUGUCCAGUAUCUGCUUUUCUUACCAGUAUUAAUGAUGUUGAAAUAAGC